This is a long non-coding RNA of Myodes glareolus (Bank vole), 1137 nucleotides long. RefSeq lists it as uncharacterized. NCBI's taxonomy places the organism in Eukaryota, Metazoa, Chordata, Mammalia, Rodentia, Cricetidae. The record is from RefSeq and is a predicted model, not a curated record.
UCCCGGCCCAGAGUGGAACGGAGUCGGCGCCGCUGCCCUAACUGUGCCUCCAGCCGCCCGCUCGGCUGCCGACCUCUCGGUGCCUUCGCCAGUCGCUCCGGGCUAGCUUCCUCGCUCCCUCGGCGCCCGCUGCGGCUUCUCUCCUCCUCUUUCGCCUCCUCCGCUUCCCUCUUCUCCUCCUCUUCCUCGUUCUUCUCCUCCUCCUCCUCUUUCCCCACCUCCUCCCCCUCAGCCACCGCCUCCAACUGCACUAACACCACUCCCUCCGGGGCACCCGGGUCCCUGCAGAGUCUUCGGCCCGCGCAGCCUUUGCUGCGGACCCCUGGAUCCUAAACCUGCGGCGCCGGCGCCGAAGCUGCUAGGACCGAAGCACCGACAGACGCGCAGAUUUCUUCACGCCCUGAGCUCCACUGAGGCUGUCCCCUGCCGCCUGGCGUCCAGGUCACUGAGAUGGCUUCGGGAGUCCGGCGAGGAUUCUGCCUUCUUCACUACACCAAAGGUGUCUCCUGGGUUCUCAAACCAGCUGGCGACAAUACUUCAAUGGUAGCAGUGUGUCUGUCUGCCACCAGCUGUGUUCUGGCCGCCCACAACCUGAAAUAAACCGUAGAGUCCCGGUUCCGGCUUCCCAAAUGAAGAUCUGUUUAAUGAAGACUGAUCCUCAGCUCUGGGGUCUGACAUCUAAGGAUGAAGCAAAAUGGUUAAUUCAGCCAUGAUCUUUGCUUGCAGCAGAGAGUGUCUCAGCCCUGGGGAGAUGUAAAUCACUCCAGGAUCACUACUUAAUACCUCUGGGUGGGACAAGUUGUCAUGGUAUCAUCAUCCUUUGCCACUAUAGCGACAUUCAUUGCAAAAAUGAGAUGCAUCUGUUCCUGGCUGCACCAAGAUACCUCAAGAGGAUGAUGGGCAUCAAAGAGGCUCUUCACAGAGUUCGUUAGCCAUUUGGGCAAGAAACUGCUCUUGCCUGGACUGCUUCAUGGUAUGCUGUAAAAACUGAACAUGCAGGACCCACAGAGAAAUGACGGCUGAACUUGCCUCAAGGUGAGAUGGUUCUUUGGGGUUUCUGCUACAUGAAAAAGUCUGCCAAACAUUCCACAGAACAUAGAAGAAAGUGACUGACAAACUGCCAAUAUAGGAAGAACU